UUGGCUAGAUAAGUAAAGUCGUAACAAGGUUUCAGUUGGAGAACCAGCUGAAGGAUCAUUU
RNAcentral lists this non-coding RNA (61 nucleotides) under Enterocytozoon bieneusi H348. RNAcentral describes it as "Eukaryotic small subunit ribosomal RNA". It matches the Rfam family "Eukaryotic small subunit ribosomal RNA", at positions 1771 to 1831 of the family's 1831-position model. The record is from Rfam by way of RNAcentral. Lineage: Eukaryota; Fungi; Microsporidia; Enterocytozoonidae.